AGAGUUUGAUCCUGGCUCAGGAUGAACGCUGGCGGCGUGCCUAACACAUGCAAGUCGAACGGAGUUCUUAAGGAAUGCGACUUCGGUCAAAUGACUUUUGAACUUAGUGGCGGACGGGUGAGUAACGCGUGAGCAACCUGCCUUUCAGAGGGGGAUAACGUUUGGAAACAGAUGCUAAUACCGCAUAAGAUUACAGUACCGCAUGAUACAGUGAUCAAAGGAGCAAUCCGCUGAAAGAUGGGCUCGCGUCCGAUUAGAUAGUUGGUGAGGUAACGGCUCACCAAGUCGACGAUCGGUAGCCGGACUGAGAGGUUGAACGGCCACAUUGGGACUGAGACACGGCCCAGACUCCUACGGGAGGCAGCAGUGGGGAAUAUUGCACAAUGGGCGAAAGCCUGAUGCAGCAACGCCGCGUGAGGGAAGACGGUUUUCGGAUUGUAAACCUCUGUUUUCGGUGACGAACAAAUGACGGUAACCGAGUAGGAAGCCACGGCUAACUACGUGCCAGCAGCCGCGGUAAUACGUAGGUGGCAAGCGUUAUCCGGAAUUACUGGGUGUAAAGGGAGCGCAGGCGGGAUAGCAAGUCAGCUGUGAAAACUAUGGGCUCAACCCAUAAACUGCAGUUGAAACUGUUAUUCUUGAGUGGAGUAGAGGCAAGCGGAAUUCCGAGUGUAGCGGUGAAAUGCGUAGAUAUUCGGAGGAACACCAGUGGCGAAGGCGGCUUGCUGGGCUCUAACUGACGCUGAGGCUCGAAAGUGUGGGGAGCAAACAGGAUUAGAUACCCUGGUAGUCCACACUGUAAACGAUGAUUGCUAGGUGUGGGGGGUCUGACCCCCUCCGUGCCGGAGUUAACGCAAUAAGCAAUCCACCUGGGGAGUACGGCCGCAAGGUUG
RNAcentral lists this ribosomal RNA (893 nucleotides) under uncultured bacterium. Its description in RNAcentral is "bacterial SSU rRNA". It matches the Rfam family "Bacterial small subunit ribosomal RNA", at positions 8 to 896 of the family's 1533-position model. The record is from RNAcentral.